UGUGAGAGCAAGAGCCCGGAGAUGGAUUCUGAGACACGAAUCCAGGCCCUACGGGGUGCAGCAGGCGCGAAAACUUUACAAUGCUGGCAACAGCGAUAAGGGAACCUCGAGUGCCAGGUUACAAAUCUGGCUGUCGAGAUGCCUAAAAAGCAUUUCAUAGCAAGGGCCGGGCAAGACCGGUGCCAGCCGCCGCGGUAACACCGGCGGCUCGAGUGGUAACCGUUAUUAUUGGGUCUAAAGGGUCUGUAGCCGGCCGGAUAAGUCUCUUGAGAAAUCUGGCAGCUUAACUGUCAGGCUUUCAGGAGAUACUGUCUGGCUCGAGGCCGGGAGAGGUGAGAGGUACUUCAGGGGUAGGGGUGAAAUCUUGUAAUCCUUGAAGGACCACCAGUGGCGAAGGCGUCUCACCAGAACGGACCUGACGGCAAGGGACGAAAGCUAGGGGUACGAACCGGAUUAGAUACCCGGGUAGUCCUAGCCGUAAACGAUACUCGCUAGGUGUCGGCCACGGUGCGACCGUUGUCGGUGCCGUAGGGAAGCCGUGAAGCGAGC
Molecule: ribosomal RNA, 549 nt
Filed under: uncultured archaeon
Lineage: Archaea
Description: bacterial SSU rRNA
Rfam family: Archaeal small subunit ribosomal RNA
Source: RNAcentral